UAGUUCAGCACUAAGUCACUUUGUCUUUAUGGCAAAUGUGAGAUGCAGUGUAUGGAACAUCUUAAAUCUAGUAUGAGAAAUUGACGAUUUAAGUCCUUCUUAAAUGAGGCCAUUUACCCAUAGAGGGUGCCAGGCCCGUAUAACGUUAAUGAUUACUAGAAGAUGUUUCCAAAGAGUCGUGUUGCUUGAUAGUGCAGCACUAAGUGGGUGGUAAACUCCAUCUAAAACUAAAUAUAACCAUGAGACCGAUAGUAAACAAGUACCGUGAGGGAAAGUUGAAAAGAACUCUGAAUAGAGAGUUAAAUAGUACGUGAAACUGCUUAGAGGUUAAGCCCGAUGAACCUGAAUAUCCAUUAUGGAAAAUUCAUCAUUAUGAUUGUAAUAUUUUAACAAUAUUAUAAUAAUAGUGUGCAUUUUUUCCAUAUAAGGACAUUGUAAUCUAUUAACAUGAUAUUUAUCAAAAGAUCAUUUGCUUAUGUUUAUUCCAAUUAGUUUGCUUGCAAGUUAACACAGAAUAAAUGCUUAUGAUUUGAUAAAGUGUUGAUAGAUUUUAUUAUAUAUAGUGCUUAAAUUCUUUGAAUUUUAUAAUGGCAUUGGAAUCAUUGAUUUCAGUGUUUAUUAUAUGCGCUUAUAUGAUAACAAUGCG
RNAcentral lists this ribosomal RNA (646 nucleotides) under Antrops sp. JK34. Its description in RNAcentral is "eukaryotic LSU rRNA". It matches the Rfam family "Eukaryotic large subunit ribosomal RNA", at positions 104 to 626 of the family's 3401-position model. Lineage: Eukaryota; Metazoa; Arthropoda; Insecta; Diptera; Sphaeroceridae. The record is from RNAcentral.